GCCUAUGGCCGUACCAACCUGAACAUGCCUGAUCUCAGAAGCUAAGCAGGGUUGGGCCAGAUUAGUACCUGAAUGGGAGACCGCCUGGGAAUACUGUGUGUGGUAGGCU
This 109-nucleotide ribosomal RNA is filed under the name Salvator merianae (Argentine black and white tegu). The record is from RNAcentral. Lineage: Eukaryota; Metazoa; Chordata; Lepidosauria; Squamata; Teiidae.